AACACUGUGAAUUCUGUAGGCCCUAUGGUUGAUGUUACUAGAAUAACUUGACUUAGGAUGUUUAAAAUAUAUUUCUUUUUUAUAGGUUUGUUUCUCUUUUAUAGGUGUUUUGUCUCUGUGUAUGUAUGUUCACUACAUACAUGCACUGUGUGUGCUGUGCCUAAGGAGGCCAGAAGAGGACAUUGGGGCCUCUGGAACUGGAAUUAUAGAGGGUUAGCCAAAGCCUGGGUUACAAAGGGUAUCAAACCCAGGUUCUCUGGAAGAGCAGCCAGUGAUAUUAAAUGCUGAAUCAUUUCUCCAUCCCCAAAAUAUAUUUCUAAUACUUAUAAGUCCUCAGGGGAAACAAUGAAAAUAUAAUGUUAGCCAACAUCUACUGAAUGCUAGUUAUAUGCCCAGAAUGGCACGAGAAAUUAUAUCUUUUGUUAAUCUCAUUUAAUCCUCUCUACUAUGAGGUCACAUUGACAAGUUACUUGCAUUUAAAGUCAAAGAUCUCAAAAAAAUUUAGAAAUUCAUGAAUAAUCAGUAGCAAAGCUACUUUAAAAAUGCAAAUAAAUAAAUAAAUAAAUAACUUGGAUAAUUCCAAAACAGUUACUAUUAUAGAUUGAAUUGUUUGCCCCAAAGAAAGACGUAUGGAAGCCCUAACUUCAAGACCUCAAAAUGCAACCUCAUUUGUAAAUAGAUUGGUUUGCAGGUGUAACUAGUUAAAAGACGCUGAGGUCAUAGUAGAACAGGGUUUGAUAUCACAGGUUUGCUUAAAAAAUACAGAUCACUCAGCCCACCGACAUGAGAGGGUCAACAUCAAGGGCCUAGAAGACUUCAUUUUCACAAACACAACAGGGACUUCUGAUGCAAUCAGGUGGCCGCCUUGCAGAGAGUGGGUUUAGACUUUCUCCUGAGGAUUGAAGGAUGUAGAUUAGAUGGAUGCUCAGGUGUCUUCCUGAUCCCAGGAUGUCUACUGGUUUAUCUUGAGCCCAUUUGCCCUGCUUGCACUGGUGCUUUGACAUCUUAGAACUCUCGUCUUUCCUUUCACCUUUCCAGCAAACACUGAUGCCCUUUCUCUGUCUCUUGAUUGUCUGGAUCUGAGGAGCCAAAUAGAAUUAUCUUAACAUGUGAUAAGUAGAUCCUGCAGCUAUCAAUGCUAAAACUAACCCACAGCACAAACAGGAUAGUCAGCAUUCUACCUUAUCAGUCCUUAAUCUGCCCUUGCUCUUAAUCACUCCUAGAUUUCCUAACUCAAGGCUUUGGGGGGAUGGGGUUGGGUUUUAAGGCCUCUGGGAGCUCUGUAAUGUCCUAUAAACUUGCCUACAGAUGAUGAGCCGGUUAGCACAUUUUUCAGAGGUAAAUCUGAUGCCAGGAAAGGAAGGGAACAAUGGGUCCAGACAUCAUGUGACUACCCAGCUCACCUGGCUAUGACCUUGGAUGUUCAUUUUGAUACUUCUAAGGGACACUGUUUGGUCAUGGAGAGAUCUCGGGCAGCUUGAGCAGCUCUGGGGGAUACUGGGAAGGUGGUAGUGGUACCAACACCACAGUCUUUGAAUUUCUACAAAACCCUAUAUAAAAAUGGGUGGAACAAUUAGAUAACAAAACCAGACAUCCAAAGGAUACAUUUUCAACAAAAUUAGGCUCAAAUUGUCUCACAAGACCCAGAUGAAAAGUGAGUAGAGCCAUGAGCAUCUGGAUGGACAAGGAAACAACUGAGAAGGGUCUGGGAGACACUGAGGGCAGCAGCUCCUAAGAGCAGACAGCAUCUCUGGAAGUUGGGAUGCUUUUGAAACAUGAAUGUAAACAUGAAAGAUGUUCAGGGAGUGGUGAGUACCACCUUCUCUAUCAGGGGAAGUGGAGAGGUCUCAGAAAGGGGGGAUAAAGGGGUUAGAGCAAACAGAAGGCUCUAAGUCCUCAGCAUAGAGUCACCAGGACAGGGUGAAAAACUGCCCUGACUGGAAUCAAAAGAAAGAAGGUCACCUGGGCGAUCAAACAGGCAGGGAAGCUCGGAAUACAAGCCACCAUUUAAUGCCAUGUUUGAACAGAAGAGGGGCUCUGAAAUUGGAAAUGGUUUCCUGAAAUCCGAGUCCAUCUGUAAGUUCAAGAAAAAUAAUUUCACAUAGGAAUGAACAUUAAGAAAAGAAUGGAGGCCAGGUUCCAGGUAUCUCUUACAAGAAAAAAUAAAUAAGACAGAAAUAAUAUACACAAGGAAAGUAUACCCCAAAAUAUAGCCGUAGAGUAAUCAGAACAUUAGCUGAGUUAGAAAGCAAUGCACAAAUGAUUCAAGAUACAAAAGGACAGCGUUAAUCAGAAUCAUAAAAUAACGCAAACUCCAAAAAACAAUUUAAAAGAAAAAGAUCAUUUUAGAAAUCAUGGAUAAAUUGCAUAGGCUAUGAAACCAAAUAAACACAAUGAAAAAAAAAACCCUGAAGAUGAAAAAGAUAAAAUUUUC
RNAcentral lists this long non-coding RNA (2434 nucleotides) under Mus musculus (house mouse). Its description in RNAcentral is "long non-coding RNA chr9:95215434-95217868". The record is from RNAcentral. Lineage: Eukaryota; Metazoa; Chordata; Mammalia; Rodentia; Muridae.